AACCUCCGCAAUGUGAGAAAUCGCGACGGGGGGAUCCCAAGUGCCAUUCUUAACGGGAUGGCUUUUCAUUAGUGUAAAGAGCUUUUGGAAUAAGGGCUGGGCAAGACCGGUGCCAGCCGCCGCGGUAACACCGGCAGCUCUAGUGGUAGCAGUUUUUAUUGGGCCUAAAGCGUCCGUAGCCGGUUUAAUAAGUCUCUGGUGAAAUCCUGUAGCUUAACUGUGGGAAUUGCUGGAGAUACUAUUAGACUUGAGACCGGGAGAGGUUAGAGGUACUCCCAGGGUAGAGGUGAAAUUCUGUAAUCCUGGGAGGACCGCCUGUUGCGAAGGCGUCUAACUGGAACGGUUCUGACGGUGAGGGACGAAAGUUAGGGGCGCGAACCGGAUUAGGUACCCGGGUAGUCCUAACCGUAAACGAUGCGGACUUGGUGUUGGGGUGGCUUUGAGCUGCUCCAGUGCCGAAGGGAAGCUGUUAAGUCCGCCGCCUGGGAAGUACGGUCGCAAGACUGAAACUUAAAGGAAUU
RNAcentral lists this ribosomal RNA (521 nucleotides) under uncultured bacterium. RNAcentral's name for it is "bacterial SSU rRNA". It matches the Rfam family "Archaeal small subunit ribosomal RNA", at positions 345 to 866 of the family's 1478-position model. The record is from RNAcentral.